AGCAGCCGCGGUAAUUCCAGCUCCAAUAGCGUAUAUUAAAGUUGUUGCAGUUAAAAAGCUCGUAGUUGAAUUUCGGGAUUGGCGCAUCGGUCGUGCCUCACGGGGUAUGAACUGGUGCAGUCAAUUUCUCACCUUCUGGAGAACCGCGAUGUCCUUAAUUGGAUGCCGCGGGGAACCAGGACCUUUACUUUGAAAAAAUUAGAGUGUUUAAAGCAGGCAUUUUUGCUUGAAUACAUUAGCAUGGAAUAAUAAAAUAGGACGGCAUGGUUCUAUUUUGUUGGUUUCUAGGACCACCGUAAUGAUUAAUAGGGAUAGUUGGGGGCAUUAGUAUUCAAUUGUCAGAGGUGAAAUUCUUGGAUUUAUUGAAGACUAACUACUGCGAAAGCAUUUGCCAAGGAUGUUUUCAUUAAUCAAGAACGAAAGUUAGGGGAUCGAAGACGAUCAGAUACCGUCGUAGUCUUAACCAUAAACUAUGCUGACUAGGAAUCAGACGAUGUUAAUUUUUUAAUGACUCGUUUGG
RNAcentral lists this unclassified non-coding RNA (520 nucleotides) under uncultured Glomus. RNAcentral describes it as "SSU rRNA". It matches the Rfam family "Eukaryotic small subunit ribosomal RNA", at positions 569 to 1083 of the family's 1831-position model. Lineage: Eukaryota; Fungi; Glomeromycota; Glomeromycetes; Glomerales; Glomeraceae. The record is from RNAcentral.